This 445-nucleotide ribosomal RNA is filed under the name uncultured bacterium. RNAcentral describes it as "bacterial SSU rRNA". It matches the Rfam family "Bacterial small subunit ribosomal RNA", at positions 354 to 796 of the family's 1533-position model. The record is from RNAcentral.
GUGAGGAAUAUUGGUCAAUGGGCGUUAGCCUGAACCAGCCAAGUAGCGUGAAGGAUGAAGGCUCUAUGGGUCGUAAACUUCUUUUAUAUAAGAAUAAAGUGCAGUAUGUAUACUGUUUUGUAUGUAUUAUAUGAAUAAGGAUCGGCUAACUCCGUGCCAGCAGCCGCGGUAAUACGGAGGAUCCGAGCGUUAUCCGGAUUUAUUGGGUUUAAAGGGAGCGUAGGUGGACUGGUAAGUCAGUUGUGAAAGUUUGCGGCUCAACCGUAAAAUUGCAGUUGAUACUGUCAGUCUUGAGUACAGUAGAGGUGGGCGGAAUUCGUGGUGUAGCGGUGAAAUGCUUAGAUAUCACGAAGAACUCCGAUUGCGAAGGCAGCUCACUGGACUGCAACUGACACUGAUGCUCGAAAGUGUGGGUAUCAAACAGGAUUAGAAACCCUAGUAGUCC